GUGUCAGCAGCCGCGGUAAUACGAAGGGUGCAAGCGUUAAUCGGAAUUACUGGGCGUAAAGCGUGCGUAGAUGGCUUUUUAAGUCGACUGUGAAACCCCUGGGCUCAACCUGGGACGUGCAGUCGAUACUGAGGAGCUUGGAGUCUGAGAGAGGGUGGUGGAAUUCCUGGUGUAGCGGUGAAAUGCGUAGAGAUCAGGAGGAACACUAGUGGCGAAGGCGGCCACCUGGCUUAAGACUGACGUUGAGGCACGAAAGCGUGGGGAGCAAACAGGAUUAGAAACCCCAGUAGUCC
RNAcentral lists this ribosomal RNA (293 nucleotides) under uncultured bacterium. RNAcentral's name for it is "partial 16S ribosomal RNA". It matches the Rfam family "Bacterial small subunit ribosomal RNA", at positions 505 to 796 of the family's 1533-position model. The record is from RNAcentral.